AUACGGAGGAUGCGAGCGUUAUCCGGAUUUAUUGGGUUUAAAGGGUGCGUAGGUGGUAGAUUAAGUCAGCGGUGAAAGUUUGUCGCUCAACGAUAAAAUUGCCGUUGAUACUGGUUUACUUGAGUAUAGUUGAAGUAGGCGGAAUGCGUGGUGUAGCGGUGAAAUGCAUAGAUAUCACGCAGAACUCCGAUUGCGAAGGCAGCUUACUAAGUUAUAACUGACACUGAAGCACGAAAGCGUGGGUAUCAAACAGGAUUAGAUACCCUGGUAGUCCACGCAGUAAACGAUGAUUACUAGGUGUAGGGGGUAUCGACUCCCUCUGUGCCGCAGUUAACACAAUAAGUAUUCCGCCUGGGGAGUACGGCCGCAAGGUUGAAACUCAAAGGAAUUGACGGGG
RNAcentral lists this ribosomal RNA (397 nucleotides) under uncultured bacterium. Its description in RNAcentral is "partial 16S ribosomal RNA". It matches the Rfam family "Bacterial small subunit ribosomal RNA", at positions 523 to 918 of the family's 1533-position model. The record is from RNAcentral.